UGACGUUGGGAAAGCGAGCGGCGGAUGGGUGAGUAACACGUGGGGAACCUGCCCCUAAGUCUGGGAUACCAUUUGGAAACAGGUGCUAAUACCGGAUAAUAAAGCAGAUCGCAUGAUCAGCUUUUGAAAGGCGGCGUAAGCUGUCGCUAAGGGAUGGCCCCGCGGUGCAUUAGUUAGUUGGUAAGGUAACGGCUUACCAAGGCGACGAUGCAUAGCCGAGUUGAGAGACUGAUCGGCCACAUUGGGACUGAGACACGGCCCAAACUCCUACGGGAGGCAGCAGUAGGGAAUCUUCCACAAUGGACGCAAGUCUGAUGGAGCAACGCCGCGUGAGUGAAGAAGGUUUUCGGAUCGUAAAGCUCUGUUGUUGGUGAAGAAGGAUAGAGGUAGUAACUGGCCUUUAUUUGACGGUAAUCAACCAGAAAGUCACGGCUAACUACGUGCCAGCAGCCGCGGUAAUACGUAGGUGGCAAGCGUUGUCCGGAUUUAUUGGGCGUAAAGCGAGCGCAGGCGGAAAAAUAAGUCUAAUGUGAAAGCCCUCGGCUUAACCGAGGAACUGCAUCGGAAACUGUUUUUCUUGAGUGCAGAAGAGGAGAGUGGAACUCCAUGUGUAGCGGUGGAAUGCGUAGAUAUAUGGAAGAACACCAGUGGCGAAGGCGGCUCUCUGGUCUGCAACUGACGCUGAGGCUCGAAAGCAUGGGUAGCGAACAGGAUUAGAUACCCUGGUAGUCCAUGCCGUAAACGAUGAGUGCUAAGUGUUGGGAGGUUUCCGCCUCUCAGUGCUGCAGCUAACGCAUUAAGCACUCCGCCUGGGGAGUACGACCGCAAGGUUGAAACUCAAAGGAAUUGACGGGGGCCCGCACAAGC
Molecule: ribosomal RNA, 867 nt
Filed under: uncultured bacterium
Lineage: Bacteria
Description: bacterial SSU rRNA
Rfam family: Bacterial small subunit ribosomal RNA
Source: RNAcentral